AUGAGACUGUGGGGUCUUCUCCUUUGCCUGGUGACAGCUCCUCAAGGUGUCUUUUCCGAGGUGCAGCUGCAGGAGUCGGGCCCAGGACUAGUGAAGCCCUCGCAGACCCUCUCCCUCACGUGCACCGUCUCUGGUUACUCCAUCACCAGUGGUUACUACUGGAGCUGGAUCCGCCAGCCCACGGGGAAUAGCCUUGAGUGGAUUGGAAGCAUUAGUUAUAGUGGAAGCACAUAUUAUAACCCGUCCCUCAAGAGCCGCACCUCCAUCACCAGAGACACGUCCAACAACCAGUUCUCCCUGCAGCUGAGCUCUGUGACCGACGAGGACACAGGCGUGUAUUACUGUGCGAGAGACACACAGGGAUCCUAUGGCUUCCACAUAUACUGGCAAACCCUCUCUCUCACCUGCGAUGUCUCUGGUGACUCCAUCACCAGUGGUUACUACUGGCACUGGAUCCGCCAGCCCACAGGGAAGAGCCUUGAGUGGAUGGGACGCAUUAGUUAUAGUGGAAGCACAUAUUAUAACCCGUCCCUCGAGAGCCGCACCUCCAUCACCAGAGACACGUCCAACAACCAGUUCUCCCUGCAGCUGAGCUCUGUGACCGACGAGGACACAGGCGUGUAUUACUGUGACGAAGAGCACAAGGCAGGCCUGGAGCUCAUGGAGCAGCAACAGUGGAACGAUGGAACGAGCUCUCAGGGUGACGAGAAGCACAUCACGGGAGAGGGUGUCCUGUCCGAGGUGCAGCUGCAGGAGUAG
Cynocephalus volans (Philippine flying lemur) is the source of this 759-nucleotide non-coding RNA. The record is from the annotation of a RefSeq genome assembly. Lineage: Eukaryota; Metazoa; Chordata; Mammalia; Dermoptera; Cynocephalidae.